RNAcentral lists this ribosomal RNA (796 nucleotides) under uncultured Sulfitobacter sp. RNAcentral's name for it is "bacterial SSU rRNA". It matches the Rfam family "Bacterial small subunit ribosomal RNA", at positions 27 to 871 of the family's 1533-position model. The record is from RNAcentral. Lineage: Bacteria; Pseudomonadati; Pseudomonadota; Alphaproteobacteria; Rhodobacterales; Roseobacteraceae.
GAACGAACGCUGGCGGCAGGCCUAACACAUGCAAGUCGAGCGCACCCUUCGGGGCGAGCGGCGGACGGGUUAGUAACGCGUGGGAACAUACCUUUCACUACGGAAUAGCCUCGGGAAACUGAGAGUAAUACCGUAUACGCCCUUCGGGGGAAAGAUUUAUCGGUGAAAGAUUGGCCCGCGUAAGAUUAGAUAGUUGGUGGGGUAAUGGCCUACCAAGUCUACGAUCUUUAGCUGGUUUUAGAGGAUGAUCAGCAACACUGGGACUGAGACACGGCCCAGACUCCUACGGGAGGCAGCAGUGGGGAAUCUUAGACAAUGGGCGCAAGCCUGAUCUAGCCAUGCCGCGUGUGUGAUGAAGGCCUUAGGGUCGUAAAGCACUUUCGCUAGGGAUGAUAAUGACAGUACCUAGUAAAGAAACCCCGGCUAACUCCGUGCCAGCAGCCGCGGUAAUACGGAGGGGGUUAGCGUUGUUCGGAAUUACUGGGCGUAAAGCGUACGUAGGCGGAUCAGAAAGUAGGGGGUGAAAUCCCGAGGCUCAACCUCGGAACUGCCUCCUAAACUCCUGGUCUUGAGUUCGAGAGAGGUGAGUGGAAUUCCAAGUGUAGAGGUGAAAUUCGUAGAUAUUUGGAGGAACACCAGUGGCGAAGGCGGCUCACUGGCUCGAUACUGACGCUGAGGUACGAAAGUGUGGGGAGCAAACAGGAUUAGAUACCCUGGUAGUCCACACCGUAAACGAUGAAUGCCAGUCGUCGGGUAGCAUGCUAUUCGGUGACACACCUAACGGAUUAAGCAUCCG